GGGAUAAUGUGUUGCAAACUAGACAGAACAACAUUAUACAGGUAGCAACCUUAGCGAGAUGGCUAGUUAGAAUGGAGUCACUGGCACCAUGACAGCUGAACACACACUGAUGGUUAGCGAGCUGGCUCCAGCAAUGGAAUCUCAGCACCACAACCACCGCUGUGAUCCCCGACACCCACAGCGGUAGCACCCACUGCUGGGUCACGAAAGGGCUGCCUGCUGCCAUGCCAGAACAGACACGCUGACUUCUCAGCUUCUGAACAACAAAACGAACAUCAAACGGGAAGCUAUUCAAAAAGCGUUUUAAUGAAAGUGUGUCAAAAGCGAACCUGUGCUCGGCAAGUUACUUCACCCUCAAAGCGUGUUGCGUUUUGUCUGUCGUUUGCUCCAUGUAGCUGCUGCAUUACAUCUGCAGAAACAUCGCACCGAUUUGCAAAAUGAUUUUGCUGAAGACAUGGACAAAACAGAAUAAGGAAAACCAAACUGCACGAACAUUGCUUCAGGUAGCAGUAAGGAACGUGCAUAUAGUAUUUCCUACUGUGGACAUAGCCUUUCACAUAACCACGACGUGUCAGUAAUCAACGCUUCUGGAGAACACUCUUUGUCCAAAAGCACAAUGGUUAAGAAAAUCAUACAAUCCUUAAUGAGACAAGAUGGACAAAGUCACCAAAUGCUGAUGUCCCUGGAAAGUGACAUUUUGGGCCUUGGAUUUUAGUAACCUAGUCGACGACGUUUCUUCCCGGAACAACAGCUUUCUAAAGACAAACGGGCUGCUGGGCCGUUCUGCUGUCACGCACUGUUGCCCCCAAAGACUCGCGCCCGAAAGGAAUUGCAGGAAAUUCCUCUCUCUCCUGGGCCUGUCGGAAGAGUCAUCAGCUGUGCUGACUCAGGAGCUGUAAGUGUAUAAUCGGAGUUGGAGCUGGAGAGGGAGGACUAGAACGUGAAUAUGAUAUUCAGGACCAGGGAGAGGAGACACAGGACCAGCUGCAUCAGUACUGCACCCAGCAGAGGAAGCAGUUUUGUAGCAGAGUUUGAGAAAGGAAUGCAGGGUUCCCAUGAAUCAGCGCACGCCUAUUAGCUUACCUGCUUCACAUUCAGAGGCCAUCAGCAGCCGGAAGACGCCAGGAGGGAAAAAGGAACUAAACCAUGAGGAAGUCCUGCUGGGAAUCAUUACAGCAGUUGGUACAUAUUGAGGAAGUCGGAGCCAUACACACAGACUGUCUGUUCCCAGGAGCAGACAGCUGUGACAGGGUGUGCUUCCUCCGCGACGCUGCAGACUCGGGCGCUGAUGUCCCAGUCCGCCACGCCGCUCACGUAAGCAAGCCACAGUGCGGCUGCUCCGGUUGGCCUCCUCUCCGCAAAGGACUCCACACAUUGCACCAAAAUGGAUUCCUGCCAUCAAACGAGAGUGGAUGAUGUUAGGUGGUCGCAACCUGCCAGGGAAAGACCGUGUGAAGAUGUUCAUGAUAUGAGGUGUCUGUUUGUUGAAUUUGACUUUAUUGAAUCAGUUAUGCACCCACACGCUUAUUUCUGCUGGGGUAAAAAAUGUGUCUCACUCAAAGUCUGCAGGGCCAGUCCUCAUUCUGAAAAAAAAAUAAAAAAUACGGCAGAGAGCUACUUGUGUUUGGUCUCCAGCUCAAAGCAAACCAGCAUCCCUGUGAUUGAAUGAUCUGCUCUGGUAUCAUGUGAAUGAAAACACUCUCUGUUUUUAAAGCAUUAUCUAAUCUCCAGAGGGUAGUUUGUCAAUGGGGGCACUUCACCUCCAGGAGAAGGAGGCGUUGAGCAGAGCCUACAGUGGGUAGA
Molecule: long non-coding RNA, 1803 nt
Organism: Anguilla anguilla (European eel)
Lineage: Eukaryota; Metazoa; Chordata; Actinopteri; Anguilliformes; Anguillidae
Exons: 8
Source: RefSeq, a predicted model, not a curated record